GAACGAGGAUAUAUCCUUCGGGAUAUAAGCCGAGUGGCACAAGGGUGAGCAAUGCAUAGAUUACCUACCUUUAGGAUAAGGGCAACUUUGUGAAAACGGAGCUAAUACUUAAUAAUACAAAAGAAAAUAAUUUUCUUUUGUCAAAGGGAGGGUAGCAAUACCUUUCGCCUAGAGAGGGGUUUAUGUCCUAUCAGCUUGUUGGUGGGGUAAUAGCCUACCAAGGCGAAGACGGGUAGCCGGUUUAAGAGGAUGGUCGGCCACACUGGGACUGAGACACUGCCCAGACUUCUACGGAAGGCUGCAGUCGAGAAUCUUUCGCAAUGCCCGAAAGGGUGACGAAGCGACGCCGCGUGGGUGAAGAAGGCCUUCGGGUUGUAAAGCCCUGUCAGGAGUUAUGAAAUGUAAGUGCGCUAAUAUCGUGCUUAUUUGACAAAGGCUCCAAAGGAAGCCACGGCUAACUCUGUGCCAGCAGCCGCGGUAAUACAGAGGUGGCGAGCGUUGUUCGGAAUUAUUGGGCGUAAAGAGCACGUAGGUGGGUUUGCAAGUCAGAUGUGAAAGCCUUCUGUUCAACGGAAGAAUUGCAUCUGAAACUGCUAAUCUUGAGUAUAGGAGGGGAGAAUGGAACUUCUGGUGGAGCGGUGAAAUGCGUAGAUAUCAGAAGGAACGCCGGCGGCGAAAGCGAUUCUCUGGCCUAUUACUGACACUCAGUGUGCGAAAGCUAGGGGAGCAAACGGGAUUAGAUACCCCGGUAGUCCUAGCCGUAAACGAUGGGCACUAAGUAGAGGGAAUUACCUAUAUUCUCUCUGCCGUAGCUAACGCAUUAAGUGCCCCGCCUGGGGAGUACGGCCGCAAGGCUAAAACUCAAAAGAAUUGACGGGGGCUCGCACAAGCGGUGGAGCAUGUGGCUUAAUUCGAUGCAACGCGAAAAACCUUACCGGGGCUUGACAUGAUAGAAGUAGGAACCUGAAAGGGGGACGAACGGUAUCCAGUCCGUAGCUAUCACAGGUGUUGCAUGGCUGUCGUCAGCUCGUGUCGUGAGACGUUGGGUUAAGUCCCCUAACGAGCGAAACCCUUGUUUUUAGUUACCAGCGGGUUAUGCCGGGUACUCUAGAAAGACUGCCGUCGUCAAGACGGAGGAAGGUGGGGAUGACGUCAAGUCAUCAUGGCCCUUAUGCCCCGGGCUGCACACGUGCUACAAUGGUCGGUACGGACGGAAGCGAAGCCGAGAGGUGAAGCGAAUCCUAAAAAGCCGAUCUCAGUUCGGAUUGGAGGCUGAAAUUCGCCUCCAUGAAGUUGGAAUCGCUAGUAAUCGCGGAUCAGCAAUGUCGCGGUGAAUAUGUUCCCGAGCCUUGUACACACCGCCCGUCAAGCCACCCAAGCAGGAUGCACCCGAAAACAUUAUAUCUAACCAGGGCAACUUGGAGGAAAAUGUUGAAGGAGUGUUUUGUGA
RNAcentral lists this ribosomal RNA (1450 nucleotides) under uncultured anaerobic ammonium-oxidizing bacterium. Its description in RNAcentral is "16S ribosomal RNA". It matches the Rfam family "Bacterial small subunit ribosomal RNA". The record is from RNAcentral.